Molecule: long non-coding RNA, 3801 nt
Organism: Herpailurus yagouaroundi (jaguarundi)
Lineage: Eukaryota; Metazoa; Chordata; Mammalia; Carnivora; Felidae
Exons: 3
Source: RefSeq, a predicted model, not a curated record
AGUCAGAUGCUUAAUGGACUGAGCCACCCAGGCGCUCCAAGGCUGGGCUCUUUUAAAGAUGGGGGAGUCAAGAAGGGCUUCUUUCUGCAUGACAAAAGGCAUCAGGCCACGCAAAACCUGGGGAAAGAUUACCAGCAGAGAGAAAUGGAAGUUCAAAGGGUCUGGAGCGAGAGUGACCCUCAAGAAGACACAGCAUGAAGGUGGGCGUGGUGGGCAGUGGGCAUGGGUCUGAGGGGGCCAAGUCAGAGAGGCAGGCAGAGGCGUGAGGACGCAGGGCCACAGCGCCCUGUAAAGGGGUCUGGAGUUUCUUCCAAUGUGGAAGGGAGCCAGAGAGCAGUCAGAGGCGGGAGAGUACCACGAGCGAGCAGCUCGCAGAAGACCAGACUGCAAGAGGGGAAGGGUGCAAAAAAGGGGUUGGUUAAGCAGGCACCAUGUAGCGGGGCCCCAUGCCCCACGGCUUGUCUAGCGCCAUCUCAGGGCCAGACUCAGAGUGUCAGGUGAGCCAACAGACCCUGGCUUGGUGAGGGAGGUAUGUGGUAACAGUACAGGUGUAUGUGAGGAAGAAAUGGCAGGUGGAGGAAGAUGAUUCCCAGUUAACUGUACAGCUCAUCCCCACGUCACCAAACUCUGAGGCGGGGAAUGACCUUUGAACCCUUAGCAGCAGGAGGAAAAAGGUGCUCCAAUUCCCAGGUCUAAUCAAACCAGAAACGCCCUUAUGGGUAAUGUUAGGAAGUGUGUAUGUGUACAUAACAUUUUAAGUAAAAUAUGCCCAAUUACUGCAGUCUGAUCAAAAAGAACUUCUUUAAUGUCAGGCAUAUAAAUUGUGUAAUGACCUUUUAAAAAGGAAGCCAACUUGUGCAAGAUUCUACUGUCGCCAAAAUACACUUGGCAGAGUAUUAAAUACACUCUCUCUAUAUUUCGACAUGCAUAAAUGCCACCUACCUUCAAAACCAGUUAUUCGAAACCAUAAUAAAUGCUGUCUAGUAGGAGAGCUGGGGUACAGACCACUGAAAUUUCUCAUUAUGCAUGUUCUUUUCAAGUGUUUACAAGGGAUAUGGCCAUUGGUAGGUUACGCACAGAAAAGUCCUAGGGCUUCAUACGGUGGUGUCACCGCAUAGACACAUUUAACGUAAAUUAACUCUACAGAGAUUAACUCUACAGAGAAGAGGCUGGGGGGUGGGGGGGGGGGGGGCGGUGAGAAAGGAAAGCAAUUGACAUAGGGUAGGAAAUUCCACUCACUGUGCCUUUCCUUGAGUCUAGGCCUGAUCAUGAACAUGAGAGUCAUGACAGGAAAUGAGCUGUCCCACCCACUGGCUUGGUUCCCAUGUAUUUCAUGGUAUGGGGAUCUUACCAGGCUGGUGCCCUUCUAGGGUUCCUUUUUCCCAGCACAUGGUUGUACCUCAGCUGAUGCUCAAACAAAGCGUGGGGCUUAUGGGAAGGUGGAUUUCAUGGGCAAUUUAACAGGCAUUCAAGGGGUCAUUUUGAUUAGACAUCAUUGUGGCCUCACGCACUGGUUUUACAACCUAAUCACUUUACAGAAAGGGGGUUUGCUGUAUACCAUCAUUGGCACAGAGGUGGUUCAAUUCUACUCAGAAGGGAGGAUCAUGAAGGACCUUAGAUUACUGUCUUGCAGUUUCAAAGAACUUGAAAAUGAAGCUCGCUCAAGAAUUUUUGGAGGAACUUAAGACUCUAUGUAAAGGACAUUAACACAAACAACAGAACAUAGACAUCUUACCUAUUAAAUUGGGAGCCUCUGAAACAUAGUUUUAAAUCUAAAUUGAAUUUGUUGUGUGUUUAUUUAAAUAACCUGUGGAGAAUUAACAGGAAAGUUGUUGCAUGGAAUUUGCUUUCCUUUCUAGAAAUGUCUAUGGUAGGAAGCUAAACUCGUGAACAAAGAACAUAUGCACCCCCUCACACACGAACUUUUUUAUUCUACUAAAGAUUAUAUGAUCUCAAAACCUAAACAUUCUUUUGGAACAUAAAACCAGAAUUUAUAUCCUGGCACUUGAAGAUUUGGGAGUGAUGCCCAGAAAAACAAACAUGUUUUCUUUAAUUAGUCCUAAAGGAAAAGAAAUACAACUGGAAAUUAAUAUUGUUGGUUUAAAAAUGCAAUAGAAAACACGGCUCAUAAACUGAAGGAAAUCUGAAUUUGUUCUAGGCUUUAAUCUGAAUAAAAAGUAUAAAAAUAAAUAAAAGGCCAGUUGACAUGCUUUAAAAGGGAUGUUUCAUUUACUGUUUUUGAUGAGUUUGUGUUUUUGCUCAUGUUUAAACUCCUACUAGGCUGAUCACUGAAAAUAUCAUAUAACCUGAGUCACAUAAUAUUAACAUGAUUACUUCACUAUAUAUCUGCUCCAAGACAAUCAGCUCAGUCAGGGCAACUUUCCUUUCAAUUGCCUUCGCUGAAAAGUUGCAUAAACAUCCCAGACCAGUUAAUUCUUUCCACGGGCUUUAAGCCUCAUUGACAUGCAGAUGAGAGCCUGAUCAAAUGACAGGCCUGGGAGCCAAGUGGUGUGAGUGAAUUUACCCGCCCAGAAAUGAUGGGGGCUCAGUCUGCAAGCCCUGAGGCCUGGGCGGGCUUUCUCUCUCCUCUCCUCACAGCCUCUGUGGAAGACCAGAGUUUCUUGUAAGGAAGAGUCAACUACCCUUGAUUCUUAAAACAUGCUUCCUUGAGCACCAUGAAACGCAUACCAAGUCGGAAGUGGGAAGGAAAUGAACGCUAGGCUCAGCUUCAAGAAAAUGAAAUACCCAGUCUUCUGACAUGGGGAAAUUAAUGUGAAUUAAGGAAGCGCAAACUCAAAUGUCUACUUGGGUGGGGCCAGUCAAGCGACGGAGUCAGCUGGAAAACAGGAAUUCUAAAUUAUUGCGAGGGCAGGGUCCAGCUGGGUCGGUCUGGUUCCCAACUAUAUCCGAGCGUCCUGGCCCACAUCUGGGACAUGCUCACCCUGUAACUGAACUGGAGGACUCAGAUGUUGAAGGCUUACCAUACCACUUAUUCAAGAACAUCAAGCUGAUCCCACUGACAUGAACUCGUGUGUCCUCUUUAACUCAUCACCUCCCCGCUGGACCUUUCCUGAGUAUGAAUUACUCAGACGCUGGCCUUGAGCAAAGACCUGCCUGCCAACUCAUUCAUACAACAAAUAGUGAAACUCUUAUAAAUCAUCUGAAUUUGUCACCCAUGUCUGAAAGGGACAACAGAGCGCAGUGAUCAAGAGCACAGACUUGGAUCUAAGGUGCACAGGCUCAAAUUCCAGCUGGGCCUCUUGUUAGCUGUGUGACUUGAGCAAGUUACUUUAAUUUUCUAUGCUAUCAUUUAAAAUCUACAUAACGGAGAUGUUAAUCAUUCCUACCUCACUGGGUUAUUGUGAAGAUUCAAUUUGCUAACCUGUGUCAAGCACCUGGGACAGCGCCUGCACACAGUACGUACAUGUUUGCAUUUAUUAGUUCGCCAUUCUAUUGUCAUUUCUCUGGAGUUCCUCUUCUUGUAACUUCUUCGGAGAAUGUGCGCCUUCUAUGGCAUCCUCUCCUGGCACUACCUGGCUCAUUCUCUUGAUUCACUUCUCUCCUCUUCACAAAGCUCAAGUCGUCCACACUAAUCUGCUCUUUCCUGGGGCUGCCAUCGCCUCUAUGUUUUCACCAUAGUAUAUAUCCCACCCUUCAUGGCUUCUGACUUCCUAACUGUCCUCCGUCUCAAAACAUUUUAUUUGUGGCCGAAGAGAACAUGUAAAAUGUAAUUUACUAACAUGGAUGGUAGAUCUCAAUUCAGAACCUGCAAGGUAUAGAAUAUGCAGGACUGGAGCUGGU